RNAcentral lists this ribosomal RNA (478 nucleotides) under uncultured Rikenellaceae bacterium. RNAcentral's name for it is "bacterial SSU rRNA". It matches the Rfam family "Bacterial small subunit ribosomal RNA", at positions 903 to 1382 of the family's 1533-position model. The record is from RNAcentral. Lineage: Bacteria; Pseudomonadati; Bacteroidota; Bacteroidia; Bacteroidales; Rikenellaceae.
AAAGGAAUUGACGGGGCCCGCACAAGCGGAGGAACAUGUGGUUUAAUUCGAUGAUACGCGAGGAACCUUACCUGGGCUAGAACGCAUUCGGAAUCAGGCCGAAAGGCCUGCGCCAGCGAUGGCCGCUUGCGAGGUGCUGCAUGGUUGUCGUCAGCUCGUGCCGUGAGGUGUCGGGUUAAGUCCCAUAACGAGCGCAACCCCUACUGCUAGUUGCCAGCGGGUCAUGCCGGGGACUCUAGCGGAACUGCCAGCGUAAGCUGCGAGGAAGGUGGGGAUGACGUCAAAUCAGCACGGCCCUUACGUCCAGGGCUACACACGUGUUACAAUGGCCGGUACAGAGGGCAGCCACCCCGCGAGGGGGCGCGAAUCCCGAAAGCCGGUCCCAGUUCGGAUCGGAGUCUGCAACCCGACUCCGUGAAGCUGGAUUCGCUAGUAAUCGCGCAUCAGCCACGGCGCGGUGAAUACGUUCCCGGGCCUU